ACCCUAUGAUUUUAUUUUCCUCUUUUUGUCAUCUCCUCCGUUAAUAUUUUGUUAAAUUAUAUACAAAAAAUUUCAGAUACACCACCUAAGUUUAUUGAAUAUCUAUUUUAAUACAUUUUAGUUUUAACUUUAUCACUGAUUUAACAAAAAAAAAAUAGUGAAGGAAAUAAUAAAAAGAGAAAAAUAAAACCACAGAGUACUAAAUUAAUACACUUUAAACCACAAGGUAGUAAAAUAAAAAAGUGGGAAACCACAAGGAUGGUAUUUGAGGUUUUUUCUAAAAAUAUU
Molecule: long non-coding RNA, 288 nt
Filed under: Ananas comosus (pineapple)
Lineage: Eukaryota; Viridiplantae; Streptophyta; Magnoliopsida; Poales; Bromeliaceae
Description: long non-coding RNA (ACOM_LNC029819)
Source: RNAcentral